This 72-nucleotide transfer RNA is filed under the name Camelus bactrianus (Bactrian camel). It matches the Rfam family "tRNA". From Rfam's summary of the family: Transfer RNA (tRNA) molecules are approximately 80 nucleotides in length. RNAcentral also lists the same sequence under 2 other names. Lineage: Eukaryota; Metazoa; Chordata; Mammalia; Artiodactyla; Camelidae. The record is from Rfam by way of RNAcentral.
GAGGGUAUAGCUCAUUGGUAGAGUGUGUGCCUAGCAUGCACGAGAUCUUGGGUUAAAUCCCCAGUACCUCCA